Molecule: long non-coding RNA, 4751 nt
Filed under: Solanum tuberosum (potato)
Lineage: Eukaryota; Viridiplantae; Streptophyta; Magnoliopsida; Solanales; Solanaceae
Description: long non-coding RNA (STUB_LNC000505)
Source: RNAcentral
CCUACACCAUAAUUUACCCUAAAAUCAUUUUAAAAGAAUCCUAAACCCUAUAAAACCCUAAACCCUAAAAAUCACUAAGAAAACCUAAACCCUAAAAAUCACUAAGAAAACCAAAACCUUAAAAAAAAUCUUUAAAACCCUUAAACAUAAGGAACCCUAAAUCCCAAACUUUAAACCCUGAAUCCUUUACCCUAAGAAACCCUAAAUCGUAAACCAAAAACCCAAACUCUAAGAAAACCCCAAACCCUAAACCCAAAAAAACACUAAGAAAAACCUAAAUCCUAAAAAACAACACAAAACACUUUAAAAAUUCUAAACCUCAAAAACUUAACAAACAUAAACCCUAAACCCUAGAAAAACCCUAAACCUAAAACACUAAACCCUAAAAGACCCAAAGAAACCCUACGAAACCUAAACCCUAAACCUUAAUGAUAAAUCCCCAAGCCUAAUCCUUAUGAAACUCUAAGAAUCCCUAAAUACUAACAAAAACAAAACACUAAUAACCUUUAAAACUCUAAAACUAAAAAUCCCGAAAACAAACCUUACAAACCCUAAAAAAUUCCAUAAUCUAAAACCCUAAGUCCUAAGCCCUUAGAACUCCUAAACCGUAAAAACAUUAAUGAUUCUAAAAAAUCCUUAAAAAUCCUAAGUCAAAAAAAACUCUUAACCUAAAAAAAUCCAAGAAAAACUUAAGCUCUAAACCCUAAGAAAACCCCAAACCCUAAACCCAAAAAAGCACUAAGAAAAACCUAAACACGAAAAAACAACACAAAAAACUAUAAAAACCUAUAAAAAAUCUUAAACCUAACAAACAUAAACCCUAAACCCUAGAAAAACCACAAACCUAAAACACUAAACCCUAAAAGACCCAAAAAAAACUAGGAGACCUUAAAUGUUAAACUCAAACCCUAAGAAACCUAAACCCUAAACCUUAAUGAUAAACCCCCAAGCCUAAUCCUUAUGAAACUCUAAGAAUCCCUAAAUCCUAAGAAAAACAAAACACUAAAACCUUUAAAACUCUAAAACUAAAAAUCCCGAAAACAAACCUUACAAACCCUAAAAAAAUUCCAUAAUCUAAAACCCUAAGUCCUAAGUCCUUAGAACUCCUAAACCGUAAAAAAAUUAAUGAUCCUAAAAUAUCCUUAAAAAUCCUAAGUCAAAAAAAACUCUUAACCUAAAAAAUCCAAGAAAACUUAAGCUCUAAACCCUAACCUAAAAACCUUUACCCAAAUACCUAAACUCUUAUUAAUCAUGUUCAGAUUAUACCAUUGUUCAAUAUGCUCUAUUCAGUUAUAUAUAUUUGUUCAGCUUUAUCCUACCAUGCAUGCUCAGUACCUUUCAAGUCAUGACACAUACUCUAAGCCUAAUCCUUAUGAAACUCUAAACCUUAAACCCUUAUAAACCCUAAUACCUUAAAACCUAAGAUCCUAAACCCUAAACCCUAAGAAACCUUAUACCUAAGAAACCCUAAUACCCUAAACCCUAUUAAACCUUAAAAACCUUUAAAAACUCUAAACCUAUAUUCUCAAAAAAAAAAAAACGCUUUUAAAACCCCUAAAAACCAUAAACCCAAAAAACAAUAAGCCCUACACCAUAAUUUACCCUAAAAUCAUUUUAAAAGAACCCUAAACCCUAUGAAACCCUAAACACUAAAAAUCACUAAGAAAACCUAAACCCUAAAAAUCACUAAGAAAACCAAAACCUUAAAAAAACACAUUAAAUCCCCUAAACCUAAGGAACCUUAAAUCCCAAUCAUUAAACCCUGAAUCCUUUACCCCUAAAUCAUAGGCCAAAAACCCAAACUCUGAGAAAACCCCAAACCCUAAACCCAAAAAAACACUAAGAAAAACCUGAACCCUAAAAAACAACACAAAAAACUAUAAAAACUCUAAACCCUAAAAACCUCUAAAAAAUCAUAAACCUAACAAACACAAACCCUAAACCCUAGAAAACCCCUAAACCUAAAACACUAAACCCUAAAAAAUCGGAAAAAAAAACUAGGAGACCUUAAAUGUUAAACUCAAACCCUAAGAAACCUAAACCCUAAACCUUACGGAUAAACCCCCAAGCCUAAUCCUUAUGAAAACUCAAAGAAGCCCUAAAUCCUAAGAAAAACAAAACAAUAAAAACCUUUAAAACUCUAAAACUAAAAAUCCCGAAAACAAAUCUUACCAACCCUAAAAAUAUUCCAUAAUCUAAAACCCUAAUUCCAAAGCCCUUAAAACUCCUAAACCGUAAAAACAUUAAUGAUCCUAAAAAACCCUUAAAAAUCCUAAGUCGAAAAAAACUCUUAACCUAAAAAAAUCCAAGAAAAACAUAAGCUCUAAACCGUAACCUAUAAGCCUUUACCCAAAUACCCAAACUCCAAACUCUUAUUAAUCAUGAUCAGAUUAUACCAUUGUUCAAUAUGCUCUAUUCAGUUAUAUAUAUUUGUUCUGCUUUAUCCUAUCAUGCAUGCUCAGUACCAUUCAAGUACUGACACAUUCUCUACGCUACAUCUUCUCGUGAUGUAGGUACAGGUCCUCGACAUUCGGAUCAUGUGGAUAUCGGUUCCCGAUCCGUAUUCAGUCAUAUCAGUGGUGAGUCCUCGUUCUUCGAGGACGAUUGACAUGUUUUAUAUUCUGUCUUUCAUUUUAUUUAGUUUUGCUAGAGUUAGUUGGGGGCAUGUCCCAGUAUCUCUAGUAAGUUAGAGGCUUUGAUUCAGACAUUGUUUUUGUCACUCCCCGAGGUUACUCCCAAGACGUAACGCGGGACUUAGGAUCACGAGUAACCCCAAGCUAACCUUGAGUUGGCAUAUCAUAAGCAUAUUAGAUCAACACCUUAAAAAACCUUUAGUAACCUAAACCUAAGAAAUUUGAAACACCUAAGAAAUCCUAAACACUAAACCCUUAGCCUUAGGGAAACCCCUAAACCCCAAGACCUAUGAAACACCAACAAACCCUAAACCCUAAGAAAUCCUAAACCCUAAAAACACCUUUAAAUACAGUAAACUUAAAAAUCCCCUUGAAACCCCUUACCCCUAAAAAACCCCAAAUCUAAAAUCCUAAGCACAAAACUCAAAGAAAUCAUAAUCCCUAAGAACCCCUAAACCAUAGAAAAUUAUAAAAAUCUUGAAAACCCUUUUAAAAUCCUAGAUCGAAAAAAAAUUCUAAAUCUAAAAAUUUUUGCAAAAGCUUAAGCCCUAAGCCUUAAACCUUAAAAUCCCUUGAAUAAAAAACUUAGACCUUCAACCCUAAAUCCUAAGAAACCCUAAAUGCUCAACUCUAUGCCCAAAGAAACCUUAAACCUUAGGGCUAAACCCUAAGAGUCUACCUAAAGAAAUAAAAAAAACACUAAAAAACACAAAAAAGCCCUAAACCCUAAACUUUUAAAAACCCUGAACCUUAUAAAAACCCUAAACUCUAAGAACCCCUUAAUCGUAAAAAAACCAUAAAUGUCCUAAACAUCCUUUAAAACCCUAAACCUAAAAAUUGCUCUAAACCUAAUAAAACCGUAGAAAAUCUUAAGGCCAAAACCCUAAUAAAAAAAACCUAACCCUAAGAAAUCCUAUACCCUAAGAAACUGUAAAUCCUUAAAUCUAAACCAUAGAGCUAACCUCUAUACCUCAAACCAUAUGAAACACUAAGAAAUCCUAAACCCUAUGAAAACCUAAACCCUAAAAUCCAGUAAAAUCCCUAAAACUAUAAUACUCAGGGUAAAAAAUAAAUCCCUUUAAAACCCUAAGCCUUAAAAAAAUCCAAUGUCCUAAAUCCUAAACACUAAACCAUAGGGCUAAACCCUAAACCUUAAACCAUAUGAAACACUAAGAAAUCCUAAACCCUAAAAUCCAUUAAAACCCCUAAAACUAUAAUAGUUGGGGGAAAAAUAAAUACCUUUAAAACCCUAGGCCUUAAAAAAAUCCUACGCCCUAAAUCCUGCGUAACCCUAAAUCUUAAGAAAUCCAAAUUCUGAAAAAACCCUAAGAAACCCUAAAACAUUUAAAAAGCCUAAUCAUAAAAAUAAUAAACCUUAAAAAACCAAAAACCCUAAAAAAAACUCUUAACCUAAAACACGAAAACCUAAACAUUAAACCUUAUACCUUAGGGCCUAAACGCUAAACCUUUGGACUUAACCCUAAACAUAAAGAAACCCCUAAAAACCUUUUAAAACUCUAAACCUAAAAACCCUUAAGAAAUCAAAAGCAUAAGCCCUUAAAAAACUCAAAAAAAAUAAUCUUUAAAUGUAAAACCCUAAGCCCUAAACUCUAAACCAGGAAACCCUAGCAUAUUCUAAGAAACACUAAACCCUAAGGAACUCUAAACUUUAAACCCUUAUAAACACUAAUACCUUAAAAUCUAAGAUCCUAAUUACUAAACCCUAAGAAACCUUAUACCUAAGAAACCCUAAUAAACUAAACACUAUAAAACCUUUAAAAACUCUAAACCUAUAUUCUCUGGAAAAAAAACCGUUUUAAAACCCCUAAAAACCUUAAACCUAAAAAAAUAGUAAGCCCUACACCAUAAUUUACCCUAAAAUCAUUUUUAAAAGAAUCCUAAUCCCUAUGAAACCCUAAACCCUAAAAAUCACUAAGUAAACCUAAACACUAAAAAUCACUAAGAAAACCAAAACGUUAAAAAAAUACUUUAAAACCCCUAAACCUAAGGAACCCUAAAUCCCAAACUUUAAACCCUGAAUCCUUUACCCUAAGAAACCCUAAAUCGUAAGCCAAAAACCCAAACUCUAAGAAAGCCCCAAACCCUAAACCCAAAAAA